GUUUCACCUCACACGCCGCGCAGAAUAAGCACAAUUGUGUGUUAUUAUUUAGUUGGGUCAGUUAAGGUGAUUAUUGUUGCUGGCGCGCAGCCCACUGUACUGUCAACGCUUUCCGAUGCACUACCACAGGAAGACGUAGUUAUACCUAGCGGAAUCUACUGAUACGGUGAGCUGUCAGAUGCAAUGAUAAGCGAUAUGUAGGUAGUAAAAUAUGAAGAUUGGAAUCAGAAGAAAACAUAAAGAUUAAAUGUACAAGUGAAUUGGUAGAUAAGUGAAUUAGUUAUUAUUGAACUUAAAUCUAAUGUUAGUUUCUUAACUUAAAUCUAUUGUUAGUAGCUGUUGAAACUAAAAUAUACUUGAGAGCACGUGUGCCGAACGAACUGUGCUGAGAAGUUAGCGUCUUGAUUAAUAGAUACGAAUACGUUGAUCACAAAAUAGAAGAAAUCGUUGUGCCACAACAACCAAGGUUGAUAAGCCGAUAGCUCUCAAGGAAAUACAAACUUUACCGAGUAAUAUUACUCUGGAUAGUGUAGACGAAUCGUCCUCCCGCGAUCAAGAUGCAGAAUGUCGGUGUGAUGUUUGCUUGAGAUGAAUAACAUUCAGCAGCCGCUUGUUAACUACAAAACCUAACGAUGUCAAAUGAAUGCCAGCCGUAAAUUUUAACCACCAUGAGAUAUCCACCAAAUAUACCAAACGAAAAGAUGAAGAAAGCAACAACUUGCAAAUAAGAAACCUAUGCGAUGGUUUGUUAAUCGUUCCGGAUAAUGAGGGUAAAUCAUGUCAAAAUACACAGGCCAAGUCUGGAAACGGCGAUCGAUUUACUGCAUAAGAUACUAAUGUAUUAUUACGUAAUAUAACUUAGGCGCUAUCCACAAAUUAUGUAACGUA
Molecule: long non-coding RNA, 888 nt
Organism: Aedes aegypti (yellow fever mosquito)
Lineage: Eukaryota; Metazoa; Arthropoda; Insecta; Diptera; Culicidae
Exons: 3
Source: RefSeq, a predicted model, not a curated record